AUAGCCUUUAGUCAGAGUUCCUUCCUCACGUCCCUCUCAGGUCUCGUCACGACCAACACCCCACCUCCCUCCCUGCCUUUCUGCACGUCUUCACUGCCACCAUCCGUGGACCCCCACCCGCCAGAUAAAGUCUAUUUUCUCUCAAAUACCACAGACAGUGAAGCAAAAAGACACCGGCUGUGUCCUCUUGUCCCAGCUCCACUACAAGCAAGCAAACCCUUGCAUACCCCCAUCCCGCUUCCCUUGGGCUCUGCGCAGUGAAGACUCCUGGAAGGAGCCUCGCCUGCCAUGUCCUCUGUGCACGCUUUGACUGAGCCAAGACUGACAUUUUUGGAGGUGGGUCAGUAUCUAGGACUCUACUGCCUCAACGGUAAUAAGAACCACCAGGGGUAUAAUCUACAAAGGCAAGAUAAACCUCUGCCUUGGAGGACCUAGAGGGCCAUAUUGAAGAGCAGUGCAUUCUGGGAAGAGGUCCUGGGCUCCAGUUCUCUUCAGAGAAUGUGAGCUUCUUGUCAGCCUGGCACAAGCUCGGGUCAUCUAGGAAGAGAAAAACCUCGACUGAGAAGCCCCUCCAGCAGCCUAUAGUCGAGUCUGUGGGGCAUCCUCUCCAUCGAGGGUGUAGGAGGGCGCAGCCCACUAGGGGUGGUGUCACCCCAGAGCAGGUGGCCCUGGGUUCUAUAAGGAAUCAGACUGUACAAGGCACGAGGAGCAAGC
Long non-coding RNA from Mus pahari (shrew mouse), 714 nucleotides. RefSeq lists it as uncharacterized. Lineage: Eukaryota; Metazoa; Chordata; Mammalia; Rodentia; Muridae. The record is from RefSeq and is a predicted model, not a curated record. The transcript has 4 exons.